UCCGGUUUGUCACCGGCAGUCUCCCUAGAGUUCCCAUCCGAAAUGCUGGCAACUAGGGACAAGGGUUGCGCUCGUUGCGGGACUUAACCCAACGUCUCAUGACACGAGCUGACGACAGCCAUGCACCACCUGUACACCGACAAAAGGGGCCAUAUCUCUAUGGCUUUCCGGUGUAUGUCAAACCCAGGUAAGGUUCUUCGCGUUGCAUCGAAUUAAUCCGCAUGCUCCGCCGCUUGUGCAGGCCCCCGUCAAUUCCUUUGAGUUUCGGUCUUGCGACCGUACUCCCCAGGCGGAGUGUUUCACGCGUUAGCUGGGCCCCUGAUCCACGUAGACCAAGGGCGAACACUCAUCGUUUACGGCAUGGACUAC
RNAcentral lists this unclassified non-coding RNA (369 nucleotides) under uncultured bacterium. RNAcentral describes it as "contains 16S-23S intergenic spacer region". The record is from RNAcentral.